Molecule: ribosomal RNA, 497 nt
Filed under: uncultured bacterium
Lineage: Bacteria
Description: partial 16S ribosomal RNA
Rfam family: Bacterial small subunit ribosomal RNA
Source: RNAcentral
GAUGAACGCUGGCGGCGUGCCUAAUACAUGCAAGUCGAGCGAACGGACGAUAAGCUUGCUUCUCUGAUGUUAGCGGCGGACGGGUGAGUAACACGUGGAUAACCUACCUAUAAGACUGGGAUAACUUCGGGAAACCGGAGCUAAUACCGUAUAAUAUUUUGAACCGCAUGGUUCAAAAGUGAAAGACGGUCUUGCUGUCACUUAUAGAUGUAUCCGCGCUGCAUUAGCUAGUUGGUAAGGUAACGGCUUACCAAGGCAACGAUGCAUAACCGACCUGCGAGGGUGAUCGGCCACACUGGAACGGGGACACGGUCCAGACUCCUACGGGAGGCAGCAGUAGGGAAUCUUCCGCAAUGGGCGAAAGCCUGACGCAGCAACGCCGCGUGAGUGAUGAAGGUCUUCGGAUCGUAAAACUCUGUUAUUAGGGAAGAACAUAUGUGUAAGUAACUGUGCACAUCUUGACGGUACCUAAUCAGAAAGCCACGGCUAACUACGUG